CUACGGGUCGCAGCAGUGGGGAAUUUUGCGCAAUGGGGGAAACCCUGACGCAGCAAUACCGCGUGAGUGAAGGAGGCCUUUGGGUCGUAAAGCUCUUUUCUUGGGGAAGAUAGUGACGGUACCCAAGGAAUAAGCACCGGCUAACUCCGUGCCAGCAGCCGCGGUAAUACGGAGGGUGCAAGCGUUGUUCGGAUUUACUGGGCGUAAAGGGCACGUAGGCGGCACAGCAAGUUAAGGGUGAAAUCCCGGGGCUCAACUCCGGAACUGCUCUUAAAACUGCUGAGCUAGAGAUAGUCAGAGGCGGGUGGAAUUCCAGGUGUAGAGGUGAAAUUCGUAGAUAUCUGGAGGAACACCGGUGGCGAAGGCGGCCCGCUGGGGCUAUUCUGACGCUAAGGUGCGAAAGCGUGGGGAGCAAACGGGAUUAGAUACCCCAGUAGUC
Molecule: ribosomal RNA, 439 nt
Filed under: uncultured bacterium
Lineage: Bacteria
Description: partial 16S ribosomal RNA
Rfam family: Bacterial small subunit ribosomal RNA
Source: RNAcentral